This is a non-coding RNA of Brassica napus (rape), 98 nucleotides long. The record is from Rfam. NCBI's taxonomy places the organism in Eukaryota, Viridiplantae, Streptophyta, Magnoliopsida, Brassicales, Brassicaceae.
AGAAUAUAAGAACCCGUCUCUUAAUUUUUAACUAAAAAAGCUAAGAACCGGUUCUUAACUUUUUUAGUUAAAAGUUAAGAGACGGGUUCUUAUAUUCU